GUCCUUUUGUUUAUAAUUUAAGGUUUAACCUGCCCACUGAAAUAAUAUUUUAAAUGGCCGCAGUAAUUUGACUGUGCAAAGGUAGCAUAAUCAUUAGUUUUUUAAUUAAAAGCUUGUAUGAAAGGUUGGACGAGGUAAAUUCUGUCUUUAUUUAAUUUAAUUUAGAAUUUAAUUUUUAAGUUAAAAAGCUUAAAUAUAUUUAAAAGACGAGAAGACCCUAUAGAUCUUAAUAUUAAUUAUGAUAGAUUUAAUUAAGAAUAAUUAAUUUUUUAUUAUAAAAAAUAUUUUAUUGGGGUAAUAAAAAGAUUAAAUAAAUUCUUUUUUUAUUUUUACAUAGAUAAAUGAAUAUUUGAUCCAAUUUUAUUGAUUAAAAGAUUAAGUUACCUUAGGGAUAACAGCGUAAUUUUUUUAGAGAGUUCAUAUCGAUAAAAAAGUUUGCGA
This 441-nucleotide ribosomal RNA is filed under the name Rhantaticus congestus. RNAcentral's name for it is "partial 16S ribosomal RNA". The record is from RNAcentral. Lineage: Eukaryota; Metazoa; Arthropoda; Insecta; Coleoptera; Dytiscidae.